AACCUGCCCGCGCACCGGGAAUACGCUCUGGAAACGGAGAACAAAUCCCGAUGUACAGGAAGGAGGCAUCUUCUUUCUGUGAAACAUCCUUUAGGGGAUGGGGCGCGGAUGGACCUGCGGUGCAUUAGUUUGUUGGCGGGGUAAAGGCCCACCAAGACGAUGAUGCAUAGCCGGCCUGAGAGGGCGGACGGCCACAUUGGGACUGAGACACGGCCCAGACUCCUGCGGGAGGCAGCAGUAGGGAAUUUUCGUCAAUGGGCGCAAGCCUGAACGAGCGAUGCCGCGUGAGUGAAGAAGGCCUUCGGGUCGUAAAGCUCUGUUGCGGGGGAAAAAAGGCAGCAUCAGGAAAUGGGUGCUGACUGAUGGUGCCCCGCCAGAAAGUCACGGCUAACUACGUGCCAGCAGCCGCGGUAAUACGUAGGUGGCGAGCGUUAUCCGGAAUGAUUGGGCGUAAAGGGUGCGCAGGCGGUCCUGCAAGUCUGGAGUGAAACGCAUGAGCUCAACUCAUGCAUGGCUUUGGAAACUGGAGGACUGGAGAGCAGGAGAGGGCGGUGGAACUCCAUGUGUAGCGGUAAAAUGCGUAGAUAUAUGGAAGAACACCAGUGGCGAAGGCGGCCGCCUGGCCUGUUGCUGACGCUGAGGCACGAAAGCGUGGGGAGCAAAUAGGAUUAGAUACCCUAGUAGUCCACGCCGUAAACGAUGAGGACCAAGUG
Molecule: ribosomal RNA, 713 nt
Filed under: uncultured bacterium
Lineage: Bacteria
Description: bacterial SSU rRNA
Rfam family: Bacterial small subunit ribosomal RNA
Source: RNAcentral